RNAcentral lists this ribosomal RNA (478 nucleotides) under uncultured bacterium. RNAcentral describes it as "partial 16S ribosomal RNA". It matches the Rfam family "Bacterial small subunit ribosomal RNA", at positions 28 to 507 of the family's 1533-position model. The record is from RNAcentral.
GAUGAACGCUGGCGGCGUGCUUAACACAUGCAAGUCGAACGAGAAGUGGAGACGGAAACCUUCGGGCGGAAGACUUUACUUCGAGUGGCGGACGGGUGAGUAACGCGUGGGUAACCUGCCUCAUACAGGGGGAUAACAGUUGGACACGACUGUUAAUACCGCAUAAGACCACAGCACCGCAUGGUGCGGGGGUAAAAACUCCGGUGGGAUGAGAUGGACCCGCGUUCGAUUAGCCAGUUGGCGGGGUAACGGCCCACCAAAGCGACGAUCGAUAGCCGAGCUGAGAGGAGGACCGGCCACAUUGGGAAUGAGACACGGCCCAAACUCCUACGGGAAGCAGCAGAGGGGAAUAUUGCACGAUGGGGGAAGCCCUGAUGCAGCGACGCCGCGUGAGUGAAGAAGUAGUUCGGUAUGUAAAGCUCUAUCAGCAGGGAAGAAAAUGACAGUACCUGAGUAAGAAGCCCCGGCUAACUACGUG